AAGAGGAGCAGCAUUGUUUCCAUUCACAUCAACCUUGUCAAAUAUUGGAUACUCAGCCUUGAAACGAGUACAAGCAAACUCCACAAUCUGUUCAUUGGUACCUGGCUCCUGAGAUCCAAACUGAUUACAGGGGAAAGCCAGAAUCUCCAAGCCUUGGUCCUUAUAUUUCUGGUACAACUGAGUCAGCUCAGUGUAGUUCGAGUUUGUCAAGCCACAUUGUGAAGCAACAUUAACAAUCAAGAGAACCUUCCCCUUGUAAGU
RNAcentral lists this unclassified non-coding RNA (261 nucleotides) under Hevea brasiliensis (rubber tree). Lineage: Eukaryota; Viridiplantae; Streptophyta; Magnoliopsida; Malpighiales; Euphorbiaceae. The record is from RNAcentral.